This 252-nucleotide ribosomal RNA is filed under the name uncultured bacterium. RNAcentral's name for it is "partial 16S ribosomal RNA". It matches the Rfam family "Bacterial small subunit ribosomal RNA", at positions 524 to 776 of the family's 1533-position model. The record is from RNAcentral.
UACGUAGGUGGCAAGCGUUGUCCGGAAUUAUUGGGCGUAAAGCGCGCGCAGGCGGUCCUUUAAGUCUGAUGUGAAAGCCCACGGCUCAACCGUGGAGGGUCAUUGGAAACUGGGGGACUUAGUGCAGGAGAGAAGAGUGGAAUUCCACGUGUAGCGGUGAAAUGCGUAGAUAUCUGGAGGAACACCGGUGGCGAAGGCGGCAUCCUGGACCAACACUGACACUGAGGAGCGAAAGCCAGGGGAGCAAACGGG